Molecule: non-coding RNA, 134 nt
Organism: Punica granatum (pomegranate)
Lineage: Eukaryota; Viridiplantae; Streptophyta; Magnoliopsida; Myrtales; Lythraceae
Source: Rfam
CAUUGGCUUAGUUAGGGGGCAUAAAUCGAUUCCGAUCGGAAUUCCUGAUUCCGGUCAUUAAACGGGCCGAGGGCAUUUGAGGGGACAACUGUUGCUUCUCCACCAAUUGUCCUCCAAGCAGCCUCUGGACAUUC